GACGAACGCUGGCGGCGCGCCUAAACACAUGCAAAGUCGAACGGAGUUAUUCUGAAAUGAAGUUUUCGGAUGGAUUUUGGAUUAAACUUAGUGGCGAACGGGUGAGUAAACGCGUGAGUAAACCUGCCCUGGAGUGGGGGACAAACAGUUGGAAAACGACUGCUAAAUACCGCAUAAAGCCCACGGUGCCGCAUGGCACAGCGGGAAAAAGGAUUUAUUCGCUUCAGGAUGGACUCGCGUCCAAAUUAGCUAGUUGGUGAGGUAAACGGCCCACCAAAGGCGACGAUUGGUAGCCGGACUGAGAGGUUGAACGGCCACAUUGGGACUGAGACACGGCCCAGACUCCUACGGGAGGCAGCAGUGGGGAUAUUGCACAAUGGGGGAAAACCCUGAUGCAGCGAACGCCGCGUGG
This 412-nucleotide ribosomal RNA is filed under the name uncultured bacterium. RNAcentral describes it as "bacterial SSU rRNA". It matches the Rfam family "Bacterial small subunit ribosomal RNA", at positions 28 to 404 of the family's 1533-position model. The record is from RNAcentral.